This 301-nucleotide ribosomal RNA is filed under the name uncultured bacterium. RNAcentral describes it as "partial 16S ribosomal RNA". It matches the Rfam family "Bacterial small subunit ribosomal RNA", at positions 509 to 807 of the family's 1533-position model. The record is from RNAcentral.
CAGUCGCCGCGGGAAAACGGAGGGAGCUAGCGUUGUUCGGAAUCACUGGGCGUAAAGCGCACGUAGGCGGCUAUUCAAGUCAGGGGUGAAAGCCCGGGGCUCAACCCCGGAACUGCCUUUGAAACUAGAUAGCUUGAAUCUUGGAGAGGCGAGUGGAAUUCCGAGUGUAGAGGUGAAAUUCGUAGAUAUUCGGAAGAACACCAGUGGCGAAGGCGACUCGCUGGACAAGUAUUGACGCUGAGGUGCGUAAGCGUGGGGAGCAAACAGGAUUAGAUACCCCCGUAGUCCCUGUCUCUUAUAC